This 497-nucleotide ribosomal RNA is filed under the name uncultured bacterium. RNAcentral's name for it is "partial 16S ribosomal RNA". It matches the Rfam family "Bacterial small subunit ribosomal RNA", at positions 28 to 507 of the family's 1533-position model. The record is from RNAcentral.
GACGAACGCUGGCGGCGUGCCUAAUACAUGCAAGUUGAGCGCUGAAGGUUGGUACUUGUACCAACUGGAUGAGCAGCGAACGGGUGAGUAACGCGUGGGGAAUCUGCCUUUGAGCGGGGGACAACAUUUGGAAACGAAUGCUAAUACCGCAUAAAAACUUUAAACACAAGUUUUAAGUUUGAAAGAUGCAAUUGCAUCACUCAAAGAUGAUCCCGCGUUGUAUUAGCUAGUUGGUGAGGUAAAGGCUCACCAAGGCGAUGAUACAUAGCCGACCUGAGAGGGUUGUCGGCCACAUUGGGACUGAGACACGGCCCAAACUCCUACGGGAGGCAGCAGUAGGGAAUCCUCGGCAAUGGACGAAAGUCUGACCGAGCAACGCCGCGUGAGUGAAUAAGGUUUUCGGAUCGUAAAACUCUGUUGGUAGAGAAGAACGUUGGUGAUAGUGGAAAGCUCAUCAAGUGACGGUAACUACCCAGAAAGGGACGGCUAACUACGUG